RNAcentral lists this ribosomal RNA (355 nucleotides) under uncultured bacterium. RNAcentral describes it as "bacterial SSU rRNA". It matches the Rfam family "Bacterial small subunit ribosomal RNA", at positions 8 to 350 of the family's 1533-position model. The record is from RNAcentral.
AGAGUUUGAUCCUGGCUCAGGAUGAACGCUAGCUACAGGCUUAACACAUGCAAGUCGAGGGGAAACGACAUCGAAAGCUUGCUUUUGAUGGGCGUCGACCGGCGCACGGGUGAGUAACGCGUAUCCAACCUGCCCACCACUUGGGGAUAACCUUGCGAAAGUAAGACUAAUACCCAAUGACGUCUCUAGAAGACAUCUGAAAGAGAUUAAAGAUUUAUCGGUGAUGGGAUGGGGAUGCGUCUGAUUAGCUUGUUGGCGGGGUAACGGCCGGCCAAGGCUACGAUCAGUAGGGGUUCUGAGAGGAAGGUCCCCCACACUUGGAACUGAGACACGGUCCAAACUCCUACGGGAGGCA